CAGUAUAUGUCUAAAUGCUAUUGUUAUUGCUAUUUGCUUUCCACCUUUGGAACUGGAAAAAAUAAAAAUAAAAAGCCUGUGGGCAGCAGUUGAGCAACAGAAGGCAAUAGAGACUGCUGCAUGAUCCACCCAUGCCUAAUGUGAGAAUUUGAAGUGGCUUCCUCCUCAAAAUAUCUUAUGAUUCAGCAAUCAGAGUCAGACAAAAUUUUGUACAAAGCUGGCCAUGGCUUGGUGAACAAACCAUAGUAAAACUGAUAAUCAUUUAGUGGGAUAUGUGAAGCUGCCAAUAUCUCUAUGGAUCCUGUUAGUGUGCCAUCUUCCUUGCUCAACUCUUGCUUUGAGCUGUCUCAUUCAUGCUUUGCCUAGUUCAGCACACAGUGGGCUGACCAUUAUUAACAGUUACUUUCUGGAGAUGAAAUUGGCAAGACCCCAUAUCUGAACAGAAGGUAACUGGGACAUGCCAAGGGGAGACAAAGGUCUUGUUGCUGCAUCACUGCUCAGGGACAUCAAGCACCAUAGUAUGAGAAAAUGUACAACCUACGACUUAUAUGUUUGCUCUUUGACUGAUAACAUUCAAGUAACAGAUUCCUGCAUUAUUUUCCUCUGGCAAAACAAAACAUUUCUUCAACAAGCCCAUGUGACAUGGGCUUAAAUAACUUUUAAAAAUAAAGAUUACUACUUUAAAAAUAGAAGCUUAAAAUGCCUUCAAAACAGUGGUCAAAGUUAUUAUAAAUACAUCUACUGGGAAUGAUUACUGAUGGGAAAAAUGGAAUCUCCAUAUUCCACAGCAAAUCUGUCUAAGCAUGUAAACAAGAUAUCAGUUUCAUAACUUGUGCCUCCGUUUCCUUGAAGAAUCUGACCAAUUAUUAUAAAAAGCAAGAUGCUGGAUUAGAUGAUAUGCUUUACUUUUGAGUGUAAUCCAGCAAAGCUCUUCAUAAGAAGAUUUCCCCUGAGACAAGUGUUGAUGAUUUGGAUAUAGUUUGUCUUACAGUUUAAAAAAAAACUUUUACCAGAGGGAAAGGCGCUUCAAAAUGAUACGUUAUGCAACAUACAAAAAGAACAACUUUCUGCUCCAGCUUGAGAUGCUGGUGUUUUCCCUCUUUGGGAUUGCAUCAUUCAUUCAUUGUGCAUUGCAAAAGGACCCAGCACCACUGCAAAAAGAGAAUCAACCAGCAGAGGGUUUGGAAGCCAAUUCUUUGUGUUAGCUGUCAGUUUGAAGAAGCUGCAAAAUCGGAGGGGAAAAAAGAAGAAAGGAAAGGAAAUGGAAAUACGUUCCCUGAAUUUAAACUCCCAGCAACUUACAGUAUGGUGGUGUCCUUUGCAAUUUUGGACGUCAGUGCCAGCUACCUCCUGACUGUGGAGCCGAGAGAAGGAUCAGAGAAGUCCUUCAGUCACAUAAGAUGCAAAAGCACCAAA
Thamnophis elegans (Western terrestrial garter snake) is the source of this 1416-nucleotide long non-coding RNA. RefSeq lists it as uncharacterized. NCBI's taxonomy places the organism in Eukaryota, Metazoa, Chordata, Lepidosauria, Squamata, Natricidae. The transcript has 2 exons. The record is from RefSeq and is a predicted model, not a curated record.